GAUGAAGAACGUAGCGAAAUGCGAUAAGUAAUGUGAAUUGCAGAAUUCAGUGAAUCAUCGAAUCUUUGAACGCACAUUGCGCCCGCCAGUAUUCUGGCGGGCAUGCCUGUUCGAGCGUCAUUUCAACCAUCAAGCCCCAGGCUUGUGUUGGGGACCUGCGGCUGCCGCAGGCCCUGAAAACCAGUGGCGGGCUCGCUGUCACACCGAGCGUAGUAGUUACAUCUCGCUCUGGGCGUGCUGCGGGUUCCGGCCGUUAAAAGCCUUAUUUACCCAAGGUUGACCUCGGAUCAGGUAGGAAGACCCGCUGAACUUAAGCAUAUCAAUAAGCGGAGGA
This 334-nucleotide unclassified non-coding RNA is filed under the name soil metagenome. RNAcentral describes it as "partial contains 5.8S ribosomal RNA, internal transcribed spacer 2, and large subunit ribosomal RNA". The stretch from base 1 to 120 matches the Rfam family "5.8S ribosomal RNA", at positions 35 to 154 of the family's 154-position model. The record is from RNAcentral.